This is a long non-coding RNA of Cyprinus carpio (common carp), 1168 nucleotides long. RefSeq lists it as uncharacterized. The record is from RefSeq and is a predicted model, not a curated record. Lineage: Eukaryota; Metazoa; Chordata; Actinopteri; Cypriniformes; Cyprinidae. The transcript is spliced from 3 exons.
UUCUUCUUCUUCCUGUCUUUGCUUCAGAGCUGCAGUAGAUUCAUCUUAACUGUUGUGGAGAGAGAAAGAGAUUUCAUUCUGAAGUGUUUUAAUGAUGACAACAUGAAGAUCAUUCAGCUUCAGCUCUAUGUAUUCAUGUGUUGUCAAGCUGCAGUUUCAGAUCUACUGACUGAUCUGGGAUCAAAUGUGAUCAUAAACUGUGAUCUUGAUGAAAAUGAGGUUUAUUGGAUUUUACUGAAAACACCAGAUCCUCCGACAGUGAUUCUACGAUAAGUCUCAACCUUAACAUUUUACUCUAAUAGGUCAUUCAGAAACAAAUAUUCAGUGCAGUUUAAACAUCGUCUGGUUAUUAAUAAUGUGACUGCUGAUGAAUUAGGAGUUUAUUACUGUAUGAACACAGAAACAUCUCCAAAACUCAGCAACCAGAAUAUACUUCACUGGUGAGUUUAUUACUACAGUGUUCAAGACAAAUUGAUGAUCACAAACUACAUUUGUCAUUUACUACUUCAAUGUGUUUUAUACUUAUGAAAAACUCUUUUUAUUUUAUUAUAUUUUAUUAUAUUAUUUUAUUAUCUCCUUUACAAAAUUAUGGACAUUGUAUCAGUAACUGUUUUUAGAGACUGUGGAUAUUUUCUUCACAGAAUCAACUCAACUAACUGAGAGUCACAGUCAUACAGCAGUGGACUGUACUGAUCAGAAUCAGACACAAUGGCAGAUUAUUCUCAUCACAUCUGAACUGAUGAAUGGGCUUCUGCUCAUUGUGCUGAUUGGACUAGUACAUGUUUUUGUUGUUGGAAUCAGAAGGUCAGCAGAACACUCACAGCAGUGUAACAUCGCUCUUCGGCAGACGCCAGAUACAGAACAAGACCCAGACCAAUUACAGGUAAAAUAUGACAUCAUCAUAACUAAAACUGUUAAUUUUUGUUCAACUGCAGCUGAAAAUACUUUUAUUGAUCUUUCAGUAUGCCACGGUGGACUUUUCCAAACUGCAUAAAAAUAUUUGGUCCAGCAAAAUCAACAGCACCUAUGCUGCUCUAAAUCUGCCCAAGUCAUGAACACAUGAGUAUGACUGAUUUUACAAUUGUUUGGCUCACUUUUUCUUGAAACUUACAGUAUUAACACAAACUGUUUAGGUGCUUAACAUUCUUUAGAUUAAGGCUUUUCAAAC